AGAAUAGGAAAACACAAGUUCCAAGCUACAUUGCAAGCAAUUCUUUUCUUUAGAUUUAUAAGAACUCAAGCUUUCUAGCAAUUCUUCUAGCACCUCCAACCACACCCUUAAACUGAAACUUUAAAAACUUUUUAUUUUCUUUGUAUACAAUCUUUCUUUUUCUUUUUCUUUUCUUCUCUUUUCUCUUUUUUUUUUUUUUUAAAUACAAACAUGAAAUACCCCCACACUUAUUCUUUUGCCAAACACCUUCAAAGUACUUCAUAAACGUUUCUCAUAAGACAAUCUCGCAUUGCUCGCUUGGAAAGGGUAAGGAAAAAUGUUUCAGGUAUAAGGGUAGACAUAUCUGGUGAUAAGAAAUAAAAAGGCUCAACAUACACGGCUCAAAUUGGCAAUCUAAUGAUAUCAUUUUUCUUUGGGAAACAUGGUUAUUUGGGCCAUAGUGAUAAACCUAAUGCCUCUAUCAUUUCCAAGUUCAUGCAAUCAAGACAAACAUUUCGAAAGAUCGUUACGCAAGUUCUAGAGAUGUAUCUCACAUAAGUUCAUCACACAUAAAAAAAAAAGGAGUGUAUGAAAAAUGCACACACUUUCAAUAGGCUCAAAAACUCACAUAGGAUGUAUAUGGUCACUAAAUUCACAUAUGAAGCUUUAAGUCAUGCUUUAGUUUCACAUCAAUAAGGCUAUGUGCAUUUGGUUUUUCAAAGAUGAUCAAACAUGUACAAAACUAACAAGAGAAUUAGGAAUUUCACAAAACACAUGUUAAC
Molecule: long non-coding RNA, 761 nt
Filed under: Malus domestica (apple)
Lineage: Eukaryota; Viridiplantae; Streptophyta; Magnoliopsida; Rosales; Rosaceae
Description: long non-coding RNA (MDOM_LNC010591)
Source: RNAcentral